RNAcentral lists this ribosomal RNA (253 nucleotides) under uncultured bacterium. Its description in RNAcentral is "partial 16S ribosomal RNA". It matches the Rfam family "Bacterial small subunit ribosomal RNA", at positions 524 to 776 of the family's 1533-position model. The record is from RNAcentral.
UACGAAGGGGGCUAGCGUUGUUCGGAAUUACUGGGCGUAAAGGGCGCGUAGGCGGUGUGUCAAGUCAGGCGUGAAAGCCCCGGGCUCAACCUGGGAACCGCGCUUGAGACUGGCACGCUCGAGUUCGGGAGAGGAUGGUGGAAUUCCCAGUGUAGAGGUGAAAUUCGUAGAUAUCGAGAGGAACACCGGUGGCGAAGGCGGCGAUCUGGACGAUGACUGACGCUGAGACGCGAAAGCGUGGGGAGCAAACAGG